RNAcentral lists this ribosomal RNA (450 nucleotides) under uncultured organism. Its description in RNAcentral is "partial 16S ribosomal RNA". It matches the Rfam family "Bacterial small subunit ribosomal RNA", at positions 331 to 797 of the family's 1533-position model. The record is from RNAcentral.
GUACACUCCUACGGGAGGCAGCAGUGGGGAAUAUUGGACAAUGGGCGCAAGCCUGAUCCAGCCAUGCCGCGUGAGUGAUGAAGGCCCUAGGGUUGUAAAGCUCUUUCACCGGUGAAGAUAAUGACGGUAACCGGAGCAGAAGCCCCGGCUAACUUCGUGCCAGCAGCCGCGGUAAUACGAAGGGGGCUAGCGUUGUUCGGAUUUACUGGGCGUAAAGCGCACGUAGGCGGACUAUUAAGUCAGGGGUGAAAUCCCGGGGCUCAACCCCGGAACUGCCUUUGAUACUGGUAGUCUGGAGUUCGAGAGAGGUGAGUAGAAUUCCGGGUGUAGAGGUGAAAUUCGUAGAUAUUCGGAGGAACACCAGUGGCGAAGGCGGCUCACUGGCUCGAUACUGACGCUGAGGUGCGAAAGCGUGGGGAGCAAACAGGAUUAGAUACCCGAGUAGUCCCA